AUGGUUGGUUUUCAUCAAACCCAACGCAAACCCGGGAAACCUCUGCUUCCAAAUCAGGAAAAGAGUUAAACCCCGAGUCCCUAGCCCUCUCCCUCGAAUUUUUCCAGUACUUUCUCAAUUAAACAAUUCUGCACUGCCAAAUGCCAAUCACUCGGUUGCCUCAGCAGCAAAAAAACUUCCGGAAAAGGAAUCCUCAACCUCAUGAUUUUUAUGACCAAGGUUCACUCAUAUCAUCAUUAUACGUCACUGUUUUGACUAGAAUAAUCAAAACAAUUCCGCACGAUUUUGGCCAUUUUUCGUCCCAGACAGACGAGUCUGGAUUCAUCAUCAUUUUCAUUUGGACUGUCAAUAUAUAGAAAACGACUUUCAGACAUCGUACAGUUCAAAGUGAAGUUGGAUUUUUAUUGAAUAGACUGCACCGAAGAACAGAAGAGACAAAGCAAAAAUCAAAAUCUUGACCUCCAUCUU
Molecule: non-coding RNA, 468 nt
Organism: Coffea arabica (coffee)
Lineage: Eukaryota; Viridiplantae; Streptophyta; Magnoliopsida; Gentianales; Rubiaceae
Source: RefSeq, a predicted model, not a curated record